UACGAAGGGGGCUAGCGUUGUUCGGAAUUACUGGGCGUAAAGCGCACGUAGGCGGAUUUGUUAGUCAGGGGUGAAAUCCCGGGGCUCAACCUCGGAACUGCCUUUGAUACUGCAAAUCUCGAGUCCGGAAGAGGUGAGUGGAAUUCCUAGUGUAGAGGUGAAAUUCGUAGAUAUUAGGAAGACCACCAGUGGCGAAGGCGGCUCACUGGUCCGGUACUGACGCUGAGGUGCGAAAGCGUGGGGGGCAAACAGG
RNAcentral lists this ribosomal RNA (253 nucleotides) under uncultured bacterium. Its description in RNAcentral is "partial 16S ribosomal RNA". It matches the Rfam family "Bacterial small subunit ribosomal RNA", at positions 524 to 776 of the family's 1533-position model. The record is from RNAcentral.